GAUGAACGCUGGCGGCGUGCCUAAUACAUGCAAGUCGAGCGAACAGACGAGGAGCUUGCUCCUCUGACGUUAGCGGCGGACGGGUGAGUAACACGUGGAUACCCUACCUAUCUGACUGGGAUAACUUCGGGAAACCGGCGCUUAUCCCGGAUAACAUGUUGAACCGCAUUGUUCAACAGUGAAAGACGGUCUUGCUGUCACUUCUAGAUGGAUCCGCGCCUCAUUAGCUAGUUGGUAAGGUAACGGCUGACCAAGGCAACGAGGCGUAGCCGACCUGAGAGGGUGAUCGGCCACACUGGAACUGAGACACGGUCCAGACUCCUACGGGAGGCAGCAGUAGGGAAUCUUGCGCAAUGGGCGAAAACCUGACGGAGCAACGCCGCGUGAGUGAAGAAGGUCUUCGGAUCGUAAAACGCUGUUAUUAGGGAAGAACAAAUGUGUAAGGAACUAUGCACGUCUUGACGGUACCUAAUCAGAAAGCCACGGCUAACUACGUG
RNAcentral lists this ribosomal RNA (497 nucleotides) under uncultured bacterium. RNAcentral's name for it is "partial 16S ribosomal RNA". It matches the Rfam family "Bacterial small subunit ribosomal RNA", at positions 28 to 507 of the family's 1533-position model. The record is from RNAcentral.